UACGGGGGGAGCAAGCGUUGUUCGGAUUUACUGGGCGUAAAGGGCGCGUAGGCGGCCACCGCAAGUCAAUUGUGAAAUCUCCGGGCUCAACCCGGAAAGGUCAACUGAUACUGCGGGGCUAGAGUGCAGAAGGGGCAACUGGAAUUCUCGGUGUAGCGGUGAAAUGCGUAGAUAUCGAGAGGAACACCUGCGGCGAAGGCGGGUUGCUGGGCUGACACUGACGCUGAGGAGCGAAAGCGUGGGGAGCGAACAGG
RNAcentral lists this ribosomal RNA (254 nucleotides) under uncultured bacterium. RNAcentral describes it as "partial 16S ribosomal RNA". It matches the Rfam family "Bacterial small subunit ribosomal RNA", at positions 524 to 776 of the family's 1533-position model. The record is from RNAcentral.